CCCUUAGAUGUUCUGGGCUGCACGCGCGCUACACUGAAGCUAUCAACACGUUUUCCCUCCCUGAGAAGGGCGGGUAACCUUUUGAAUCAGCUUCGUGGUAGGAAUCGGGGCUUGCAAUUGUUCCCCGUGAACCAGGAAUUCCUAGUAGACGCGAGUCAUAAGCUCGCAUCGAUUAAGUCCCUGCCCUUUGUACACACCGCCCGUCGCUACUACCGAUUGAACGUUUUAGUGAGGCAUUUGGACCGACGCAUCUCAGUUUAACCGCUGGUUUGUGUUGGAAAGACUUCCAAACUUGAGCGUUUAGAGGAAGUAAAAGUCGUAACA
RNAcentral lists this ribosomal RNA (324 nucleotides) under uncultured eukaryote. RNAcentral's name for it is "partial 18S ribosomal RNA". It matches the Rfam family "Eukaryotic small subunit ribosomal RNA", at positions 1470 to 1796 of the family's 1831-position model. The record is from RNAcentral.